AGUGAACGCUGGCGGCGGGCUUAACACAUGCAAGUCGAACGCCCCGCAAGGGGAGUGGCAGACGGGUGAGUAACACGUGGGAACGUACCCUUUGGUUCGGAAUAACUUGGGGAAACUCAAGCUAAUACCGGAUAAGCCCUUAUGGGGAAAGGUUUACUGCCGAAGGAUCGGCCCGCGUCUGAUUAGCUAGUUGGUGAGGUAAUGGCUCACCAAGGCGACGAUCAGUAGCUGGUCUGAGAGGAUGAUCAGCCACACUGGGACUGAGACAUGGCCCAGACUCCUACGGGAGGCAGCAGUGGGGAAUAUUGGACAAUGGGGGCAACCCUGAUCCAGCCAUGCCGCGUGAGUGAUGAAGGCCUUAGGGUUGUAAAGCUCUUUUACCCGGGACGAUAAUGACUGUACCGGGAGAAUAAGCCCCGGCUAACUUCGUGCCAGCAGCCGCAGUAA
Molecule: ribosomal RNA, 447 nt
Filed under: uncultured bacterium
Lineage: Bacteria
Description: partial 16S ribosomal RNA
Rfam family: Bacterial small subunit ribosomal RNA
Source: RNAcentral